UGUGAUGGGUCACUUUCUACAUAUGGCUCUGCUGCUGUGUGGGAUCGGUGUGCUGUCAGUGAGUUUGAGCUCUCAGGCUGGUUUAACUGUAGAAGCAGAACCUGGUGAUGAUGUCACUCUCUGGUGUAAACACAGUCUGACUCAACUAGAUUAUUUAUUCUGGUGUAAACACACAAAUAAUUCAGCACCAGUUUAUAUUGCAUGCAGAUAUUAUACAUCAUCAUCAUCCAAACCCUGUAGAUUCAUCUCUGAUAGUGAGAGGUCAGUGAUGGGAGUGAACUCCACGUUCUCCUCUCUCACUAUAACUGCAGUUAAUCUCUCUGACUCAGGACUCUAUUACUGCAGCAGUCUGGAGGGAAAAUUCAUGACCUUCAGCACCACAACACGUCUACAAAUCAGAGAGGGAAACAGAACCUCCUCCAGGAAUCCAGACAGACCUACAGAAGAAUCCUGCUCUCCUCCUAAAGUGUUCUACCUGCUGACUCUGGUGUUUGGAGCUGUGAUUGCGGUUCUGCUCAGUGCUCUUCUCAUCCUGAUCUUCAUCAAACAGAGUGAGAGGAAAGACCAGAGAGAGCAGCAGAGAGACGGUAAAAUACCACACUUCCAAUAGAAGUACCAACUACAAUGUGGUGGAUCCAUAUGUUCACUGUAUUUACAAAGUGGCAGAACAAAAAUAAAAGUUGUGUCUCUGUGAUGCC
Non-coding RNA from Pygocentrus nattereri (red-bellied piranha), 698 nucleotides. Lineage: Eukaryota; Metazoa; Chordata; Actinopteri; Characiformes; Serrasalmidae. The record is from the annotation of a RefSeq genome assembly.